AAUCCGACGAGUGUACGCGAAGUUAUUGACGAAACGACUGUUUUGGUACAGAAAAUCGUAGCUCACGGAAUAGACCUCCAAAAAUCAUGGAAACGGAUCUGGAGCACCGUGUUAGCGUGGCAAAGAGCUUCUGCAACUGAAACGGCGAAGCGGAGCGCUCUUGACAUGCAAGUGUGAGAUCGGGCCCAAACGGGUGCCGAGUCCCGCGGGAGGCCGAUUGCAAGUGACUACAAACAAUCGGAACGCGAGUUAAGGUGGGUUGGUUUACCGAAGCGACUAGGUCGCCCGUAUGUCUAAGCUCAUUGCUUAUCAUUGAUGCAUGUUACUAAAUAACAUAAAUGUUGCUAAGUAGAAAGCAUGAUGCAUGAUAAACAUGACAUAAGAGUUAAAUGCUAGAGAAGAAUACAUGAGAUAAAAUGCUAAGUAGAGAGCAUGUAAAAAGUAAAGUGUAUGCAUGAUGAUCAUGACAUAAAGAUGCUAAAUGCAUGAAUGCACGGGGAACAUGUUGGUAAGUAACAUAAAUGUGCAUGAAAAACUAGGUUGAUAACCCUAGAAUGAUUACAGUAAAUGAUGCUAAGCUAAGAAUGCUAAAGUAUAAAUGAUAAGCAUGAUAUGAAUAUGGUAAAGGCUAGCAUAUGUUAAGAAUGCUAAGUAAGAAAUAUAUAUAGGUGGACAUGAAUAAACCUAUAGAUCGAGUGGCAUUGAACCUAGUGUCGAGAACAUAGGUUAAACAAAUGUGAUUUUGAACCUAGUGUCGGUGAACAUAGGUUAAAUAAGAAUGAUGCUAAACCUAAUGUAAAGAACAUAGGUUAUGAUAUAAAGGUGCUUAACCUAGAGUCAAGUGAACCUAGGUUGGAAAGAAUAAUAAUCCUAGUGUAAUAAACCUAGGUUAAGAAUGUGAAAGCAAUGAACCUAAUGGGCUAACUUAGGUUGAGUAAAGGCUUAGACCUANCCGAAAAUCGGAGUUACUAUUCACUUAAGUGAAAUUUAAAAAUCGCGUAACUUCUCCAUUUUAGCUCAUUUUCUCCUGAAACUUGACGAGUGCUUAUGUAAUUAAAUUACACACAUAAACAUCGUCAACAGAGAGUUUAGUUGCACUGUAAAAAUCUCAGUCCUUACAAUAUAGGCGGAAGUGCCGAUCUCCCAUUCAUUGGAGUGAUGUAGGCGAGCGAGUUGAGUUCGGUCCAGAUGUUCUGCGAGAGGCGGAGGAGAAAGUCCACCUUGCUCGCAAAAGGUUGCUCACGGCGCAAUCACGACAAAAAAGCUAUGCAAAUAAACGCAGUAGAGAUUUGGAGUUCGCAGUGGGUGACCGCGUGUUCUUGAAGGUUUCGCCGAUACGAGGCGUGAAAAGGUUCGGGGUGCGAGGAAAGCUGAGUCCUCGUUAUAUUGGCCCCUACGAGAUCUUGGAGCGCAUUGGGACGGUGGCGUAUCGAGUUGCAUUGCCCCCGAAACUUGCGGGUGUGCACAAUGUCUUCCACGUCUCCCAAUCUUCGCAGGUAUAUGCAUGAUCCCUAGCAUGUUCUAGUAUAUGAGCCGCCGGAGCUUCAAGAUGAUAUGAGCUAUGAAGAGUUUCCGGUGGAGAUAUUGGCUCGAGAAGUGCACAAGUUAAGGAAUCGGGAAAUUCCCUAUGUUCGAGUCAAGUGGAGCAAUCACGAUGAUCGCGAAGCCACUUGGGAGCUCGAGGACCAGAUGAAGGCAAAUCAUCCUCACCUAUUUGGGGAUUGAGGUAAGAGUUCGAUUCGAGUUUAAAAGUUGAGUUGUUUCGAGGACGAAACUCCUUUUAAGGGGUGGAGGAUGUGAGAUAUUGGAAACUCGACGAUAUUUGCUCACUUUGGCCAAAUGGACCAAAGUAAGCAAUCGAAAGGCUUGGACAAGUUCCAAUUGGUACUCCAACAAGUUUGGAAGAGUAUAAAUGAGUUCCAAGGGUGUUGGAAGGGUUUUGACGUUGAUCGGCGCGAAGUAGAGCCGAAACAGGUCAAACAGCACAUUCUGGAACUGCUGUACUGGUACAACAUGAUGGUUGUACCGGUACAACCAUCAAGGGUAGGCUGAUGGUUGUACCGGUACAAGGGUGGCCUUGUACCGGUACAAACCCGUCGAAACUGAGCGACCGAGCCUCAGGUUUGCUCUCGGGUUUGCUAUCACAGGGCCUUGUACCGGUACAAGAGCCCGUGAACCGAUACAAGGGCACCCGAACAGCGGGUUAAGUUGUAAAAAUAGAAAAUAGAGGGACUCUUUUGGAUUUUGUUACAUUAGAGAGUUGUUAACCCUCUCUCUCAGCCUCUUUCCCUCUCACUCUCACAGCCUCUCUCUCUCUCUAGCCUCUCUCUCUACCCGAAAUAGAGAAUAAGAAGGAGAAAAGGAAAAAGAAGGAGAGAAAGAAGAAGAAGAGAGGAAGAAAAGGAAGGAGAAGAUCAAGGAGAAGAAGAAGAAGCUCUCUUCCUCCACGUUUUCAAGCUAGGGCUUGCUUUGGAGCAAACCCUAAAGGUAAGCCUCAACCCUAAUGUGUGAUUUCUAGGGUUUAGGGCUUUUUGGUUGGUUUUAAUGGUUCAAAUGGAACCUCAUAAGCUUAGAGAUCAUGGAUCUAGCUCACAAUGAAGCUAGAAACCAUUGAUCCCCAUGGGUGCUAAACCUAGGGUUAGAUUUUGGGGUUUUGAAAAUAUAAGGGUUUGAUCUCUUUUGACGGGUUAGAAACCUAAUUCCUAUGCUCCCAAACGCGUAGGCGAAGACGGUUCGUCGAUCCGACGAGUGAGCGCGGAGAUCUCGCCGAUUUGAGUGCUCUAGGGUUUGGGUUGACCCGACGAAAUUAAGCGGUGACAAGAAAUAGUGAAAGAACGCGUUUCGUAGCUGUUCGGCAUUACCAAAGGUGGGGGAGUGCCAUCCCAAAGCUAUCGGGCUACUCUUUAUGUCCAAGUUUAAUUAUGAUCUAAAUUGCAUAUUGUGCAUGUUCAUAUAGGGUUAGAGGUUGAUUAUGUUGCUUACAAUUGCAUGCUAGUAGCUAUAAAUAUGCUUGGUUGGUUGAUUUAUGAUCUAGUAUGCAAGAUGGUUAUAUGAUGAGAACUCUAUGAUGAAAAUAUAAACCCUAUAUGAGAUGAAUAAUGCUUAUGUUGCUAAAGAACUACUAUGAUGUAACUAGUGUUGAUAAUGAGUCAAAAUUGACGAGUGGCAUCUAACAUAGAGAACUAUGAUGAGUAGCAUAUGAUUGUCGAUAGCUUAUGAUACGAGAAUCCUAGUGUAGCUGAAACACUUUGAGAUUGGGUAUUAGAACACCAUGAUUCUAUGCUGAGAUUACCCUCAAAGGGUAGGUUGCUGUUGAUCGUGAGUUGAUCGUGCUCACAUAGCCUGUCUGCGCUUCGUGGGGUCGCUCCCCUCAAGCUGUGCUCUCCGGAGUUUGGUCACUAGAGGGGCAGCCGCUUGCUGCCCGGAUAGCCGCUAGCUAUCCGCAGGCGGUCUCGGGAGUAGUUCAGUGAGACUUUCCCUAUGAGACUUACACGUGAGAUGUGCUUGUGAACCCCGUGUUCACUAUGAGAUUUGGUCACCUAUUGAGUCAUACUCAGUACUUGUUGUUCAUAGUAGCUUACUUGUUGUUCAUAGUAGCUUAUUUGCUGUUCCUAGUAGCUUGCUUACAUAGCUUACCUCUAUAGUUGUUGUUGAUGUUCAUAGUAGCUUGCUUACCCAGUUUUAUUAUUGUUCAUGCAUUCAUGACACCAGAUUGAGGAAUAGCUAGAUGUACUUACUCCACCUACCUACUUUCGUUUCCGCACAGUUUUAUAUAUUGCAUAUAUCUCUCUAUACCUGAUUAGACCUAGUGGGUAGAUCGGCGGAGUCGGCGGCCGAACCCACUGGGAACUACUCGUAGUUCUCACAACCCACAUUACAGGUGCUAGUUCGAGCAUCCCGACCGAGCGGGAGGAUCGCGGCAAGGGCAUAGCGCCCUAGCGGUAUCAGUUGAUAGUUUUACCUUUCCUACUUGCAUUAGCUCUACCCUGUACCUAUAUUCAUUUUGAGAGUAGAUGUUGUAUAGGGUGAGGUUUUGGAGAGUGAUUGAUGUACUCAUAUUUUGAAGAAAAGAAUGCAAGUUGUAUCAAAUUGCUUAAAGUUAAUGAUAUUGGAAAAAGUUUAUAUGCUUCAAGUUUAUGGUUUAAAUAGCUAAGUUUCUCUCUUUUGUAUACUUGUAUGGAUUUACUUGUAUCGCUUGCUCUUGGUUUUGCAGCACUGUUUGUGCUUCGCUAUCGUUGUUGCAUUGAUCAUGUAUGAUUACAAGUGUUGAUCCUGGGGACUUGUGUACAUGAUCUCGUUGUUGAGCCUAGGGCGGGCAGGGGAGACUCUGCCCGUUCGGCCUCACGCCGCCGCCCUCGAAACGGACCAAAUAGGUACUGUCCUUCGGGUAGUGCGGUCGGGGCGUGACAAACAUAAAUGUGCAUGAAAAACUAGGUUGAUAACCCUAGAAUGAUUACGGUAAAUGAUGCUAAGCUAAGAAUGCUAAAGUAUAAAUGAUAAGCAUGAUAUGAAUAUGGUAAAGGCUAGCACAUGUUAAGAAUGCUAAGUAAGAAAUAUAUAUAGGUGGACAUGAAUAAACCUAUAGAUCGAGUGGCAUUGAACCUAGUGUCGAGCACAUAGGUUAAACAAAUGUGAUUUUGAACCUAGUAUCGGUGAACAUAGGUUAAAUAAGAAUGAUGCUAAACCUAGAGUCAAGUGAACCUAGGUUGGAACAAAGGUUGUGAUAUAAACGUGCUUAACCUAGAGUCAAGUGAACCUAGGUUGGAAAGAAUAAUAAUCCUAGUGUAAUAAACCUAGGUUAAGAAUGUGAAAGCAAUGAACCUAAUGGGCUAACUUAGGUUGAGUAAAGGCUUAGACCUAGAGAGGUCAGUUCCAUAGGGUUAAGACCAACCCUUGGUUAAUGUGAUAUGGAUUCCGGAAUCCCAAAGCUUAAUGAUACACCCAAAGUGGUGUUGGGUGUGUGCGACGAUUUCGCCGCCCAGGGGCUAGAGAACCAUUGUCAUGGCGUGUGUGCGACGAUUUCGCUGCCGGAUGGUUAUCCAGUUUGUGGAUCCUACUGCCUGUUGACUGAACCACUGUCAUGGCAUUUGUGCGACGAUUUCGCCGCCGGGUGACUAAGUCAUAGACCUAGGCCGUUGUUGGGUGAGGUGCGAUCCGUUUGCCGCCAGACGGCUAGGACAGGAGUACGGUGAGCUGUUGCCAGCUGAGGUGCAUGUGAGAGUUCCUUCGCCUCGAACUAGACAGUGCGCGGACUACCCGCGAUCGAUUGACUCAUGACCGAGUUGGGUGGUAUAGAGAACAAAGGUAAGAGAAACCUUAGGAAUGAAUGGUUAGUGAGAAUGUGCAAUCAAGUGUACAGAAUAAAGAACAGCUAAAGAGUAAAGAUAGUUAAAGAAUAAAGAGUAGCCAUGCUCAAGAAUGUUAAGAUUAAAGAAUAGCUAAGAGCUAAAAGCAGACGUCAAAUGACAAAGCGUAAAGAAUGAUUAAGAAUAUAAGUAGCGUUAAGGUAACCUACUUGCAUGAUUACAGGUAUUGCAUGUUGCAUUUCGUGAGGCAUGACAUGUAUUUCAAUUGAAUAUAUAUAUCUGUUGUAUAUUGUUGAA
Molecule: long non-coding RNA, 5603 nt
Filed under: Ananas comosus (pineapple)
Lineage: Eukaryota; Viridiplantae; Streptophyta; Magnoliopsida; Poales; Bromeliaceae
Description: long non-coding RNA (ACOM_LNC035621)
Source: RNAcentral